Molecule: ribosomal RNA, 957 nt
Filed under: uncultured bacterium
Lineage: Bacteria
Description: bacterial SSU rRNA
Rfam family: Bacterial small subunit ribosomal RNA
Source: RNAcentral
UAAUACGUAGGUGGCAAGCGUUGUCCGGAAUUAUUGGGCGUAAAGCGCGCGCAGGCGGUCCUUUAAGUCUGAUGUGAAAGCCCACGGCUCAACCGUGGAGGGUCAUUGGAAACUGGGGGACUUGAGUGCAGGAGAGAAAAGUGGAAUUCCACGUGUAGCGGUGAAAUGCGUANAGAUGUGGAGGAACACCAGUGGCGAAAGCGACUUUUUGGCCUGUAACUGACGCUGAGGCGCGAAAGCGUGGGGAGCAAACAGGAUUAGAUACCCUGGUAGUCCACGCCGUAAACGAUGAGUGCUAAGUGUUAGAGGGUUUCCGCCCUUUAGUGCUGAAGUAAACGCAUUAAGCACUCCGCCUGGGGAGUACNGCCGCAAGGCUGAAACUCAAUAGGAAUUGACGGGGACCGCACAAGCGGUGGAGCAUUGGUUUAAUUCGAAGCAACGCGAAGAACUUACCAGUCUUGACUCCUCUGACAAUCCUAGAGAUAGACGUNCCCUUCGGGGACAGAGUGACAGGUGGUGCAUGGUUGUCGUCAGCUCGUGUCGUGAGAUGUUGGGUUAAGUCCCGCAACGGGCGCAACCNUUGUCNUUAGUUGCCAGCAUUAGGCUGGGCACUUUAAGGAGACUGCCGGUGACAAACCGGAGGAAGGUGGGGAUGACGUCAAAUCAUCAUGCCCCUUAUGACCUGGGCUACACACGUGCUACAAUGGAUGGUACAAAGGGUUGCGAAGCCGCGAGGUGAAGCUAAUCCCAUAAAACCAUUCUCAGUUCGGAUUGUAGGCUGCAACUCGCCUACAUGAAGCCGGAAUCGCUAGUAAUCGUGGAUCAGCAUGCCACGGUGAAUACGUUUCCGGGUCUUGUACACACCGCCCGUCACACCACGAGAGUUUGUAACACCCGAAGUCGGUGGGGUAACCUUUCAGGAGCCAGCCGCCUAAGGUGGGACAGAUGAUUGGGGUG